This is a long non-coding RNA of Lytechinus pictus (painted urchin), 1814 nucleotides long. RefSeq lists it as uncharacterized. The record is from RefSeq and is a predicted model, not a curated record. The transcript is spliced from 6 exons. NCBI's taxonomy places the organism in Eukaryota, Metazoa, Echinodermata, Echinoidea, Temnopleuroida, Toxopneustidae.
GUAUUUGCCAGAAGCGGUAGAUUCAAACUGAGGUGGAUGCGAAAAGCUGUUUUUAUUUCUUGUAAUACGGGAUAAUUUAGACUCUAGAGCAAGCACAGACUGCUUAUCCAUGAGAGCAAAGCACUGAAAUCAAGAAAUCAUGUGGAGUUAGAUUAAGAAAAGGAAGGUGAACUCAACUAACUCAGGUCAAAGGUCAAGAAAUUAUCCAGAAAUAUGCCACAAGAUCUACUGGUUGGAUGAAUACGGGUCAAGGACGAGCUGGUAGCUAUCAACAAUCAACUACGACCUUGAAAGAAGCACAGGCUGAUGUUACAAGGAUCAAUAUAAACAGGCACAGACUGCUAUCCAUGAGAGCAAAGCCCUGAAAUCAAGGGUUCAUCUGGAUGUCCUCAGAAGUCACCCAACAUGAAGCAAGCAAUAUGGACUAGAUCAGGAAGAAGUCAUGGUCAUGCUGGAGGGAUUCCAUGACGUUUGCUCCAGCGACAAUUGCUCUGUUGAAAAUUCCACACAUUAAACAAUUGACUAACUUCAACCCUGAAUUUGACACUUUACCCUACCCUAAACCUAACAUAAAACCCUAUUGUAACCCUACAUUGUAGAUAAAAUAAAGCCCAGAGCAAUUGUCGCAGGAGCAAAUGUCUUGUCACCGCUGGAUGAUGGACUCGACAAGCUCAUGCCAAAGGUCAAGAAAAUUAUCAGAAAUAUGCUGCAAGAUCCAGUGUUCACAGUUUUACCUCAUGGCUGGGAGGAGGCUUAUACAGCUGAUAGAAUACAGUUCUACUUAAAUCAUGUCAUUCAGUGUACAACAUGGAUACACCCCCCAUCUGGUGUUAACCGUCUUCCAAGCGUGAAUGAGAGAGAUAGUUUACCAGAGACGAGAGCAUGUCACCAAUCUCGAGAUCUUCACGUACACAGAACGUUUGGUAUGAUCACCUAUUGGUAUUCAUGUGAGGUAUGAUCCAAUAGAGACUUUGGAUUUGACACCAAACCCUUCAUAUACACCUUCCAUUCAUGUGAGGUAUGAUCCAAAAGAGACUUUGGAUUUGACACCAAACCCUUCAUAUACACCCUCCAUUUUGUGUUUGUAAUCUUCCUGGCAUUCCUGAUAAAAAUAGUUCCAGGGAUUUGCUCUUGACACCGGUCACUUUACGCUCUCUGUCUGGUGUUCUCCAUAUUCUAAUAAUUAAAUCUACAUAGUCAAGCACUUGACACCACUCUAUGGAGUGUAUAGAUGGUGCUAACCAUAGUCUUAGUACUCAUAGGGGUGAUUAUCUCUGUAGAAAAUACUUGACACCAAAUAUUAUCUAAAUUCUCUUCUCUGGUGUUAACUAUGUUUUUGAUAUGAGAUUAUCUACUUCGAUGAUUACUUGACACUAAACAUCCAUGUGUCUGGUGAGUUUAGAAUUUCAUGAGAGAGAAGAUAUAUCAGGCACUGGACCUUAGUACCAUAUAUUGUGGCCAGUCUCUGUAUUGUAAUAUAGCAUUAUCACUAGUACAGUCUAUCCUGCUAUAGUGACUACAUGAAUUGAAUUGAAUUGAAUUUAUUAGAACUUCACUGGCAAUUGCCAGCAUUUUGUUCAUAACAAGAAGUACAAAAUGAUACAAGACAAAUAUACAAUGCAAGGAAUAUAAGCAAAUAAACAAAAACAAAAUAGUAUUUCGUCAAAAAGAAAAAAAAGAAAAAAGAAACAACUUGUAAAUUAUACACAAAUAUACACAAUAAACAUAGGAAUCAUUCGGAUAGAUAUUUUGACAAUGGAUAUAGAGACUGAUAUCCAAGAAAAGAUAAAGAAAACAUAAAGAAAGUGAGAGAG